AGAGUCCUGAGGUGUACGUAGAACACUGUACGUUUUGAGCCAACACCUAUACAUCGGGAGCCUGAUGUUUUCAUCGAAAGUGCAUGCCUCUGCGAAGUGGAAGCACGGACGAUGAAGCAGGGCACCCACCUGCGAGAGCAGGCUUCAAAACAAAGUUAGUUUAACGGCACUACGGGACUCUU
Molecule: non-coding RNA, 182 nt
Filed under: Sinobaca qinghaiensis
Lineage: Bacteria; Bacillati; Bacillota; Bacilli; Caryophanales; Sporolactobacillaceae
Description: 6S / SsrS RNA
Rfam family: 6S / SsrS RNA
About the family: E. coli 6S RNA was the first non coding RNA to be sequenced, but its function was unknown until recently. It consists of 184 nucleotides that fold into an extended hairpin structure with a large single-stranded internal bulge.
Source: Rfam by way of RNAcentral